Molecule: long non-coding RNA, 3329 nt
Organism: Phyllostomus discolor (pale spear-nosed bat)
Lineage: Eukaryota; Metazoa; Chordata; Mammalia; Chiroptera; Phyllostomidae
Exons: 2
Source: RefSeq, a predicted model, not a curated record
CCCUCCCUGCUUCCCCUUUCCCCUUUGUUCAAAAAUGUCUCAUACACUCAAUGCUGCCUCACGGUCUUUCGUGGAGUUUCCAUACCUCUGUGAAUUGCCCAUGUGCAUGUAUUAAAGCUUUGAUUUUCUUCUGUUAAUCUGUCUCUAUUAAUUUGAUUAUUAGCCCAGCCAGAAGACCUUAGAAAGUGGGGGGGGGGGGGUGUUAAUAUUUUUCUUAAGUCCCCCUAGCACUUUGAUCAAUGGGAACGUCCAGAGAGCAGCCGCAGUGCUAGAAGUCCACCAGGGUUAGAUCGGACAGGGAGAACCCUGCACUUAGCUUUUCCCUAACAGGCUGGCCCAGCUCCAGUGCCCUAAGGAGGUAAGAAUUUAAGAAUUUAAGAUUGUCCCACUUUGAAUAAGGCAGCUGAAUAGAGGUCGAGAACCAUCGACCAUGUUUCAUCCCAGGGGCUUCAGGAUGAGCUUUUGCUGUAGUGUGGAGCUUGGCACAGUUGUGCUGCGGGAGUCAGGCAAGCAAGCACCACUGCCAGUCAUCAAAUAGGAAUGAGAAGGAGUUCAGAUCUUUCAGAUUACCUUUUGAAGCAGAAGAAAGAUCCAACAUGCAGCUCGCACUUCUCACAAUUCCCUUCCUUCUCAUGCCUCAAAUCUUUUGCAUUCAAGGCUGCCCUGGGAAGUCAUACAAUUCAAUCCCCCAGUUUUUCCCAGCAUCACUCUUUCCUAGCUUUUUGGGCUAAGCCCUAAACCCUUCUUCUCUCCUAGGUUUUUUUGUUUUUGUUUUUUAAUUCUACUCUCAUGAUUCUAUACCACGAACAAAAGGGGUUGUUCAGUUUGCAAGGGAAGGAAGCUAGAGGGCUUUUUAAUUAUUUUGAAGGCUAUUGGGUAGAAGAUGGCAUGGGCUUGUUUUCUAUAAGGACCCAGGAAAACGACCAAUGUGAAAGCCUUAGAGAGGCAUAAAAACGAAUUUUCCCAGUCAGCUGCCCAAAGAUGGAACAUGGGGACCUUGCUGGAUAGUGAGUGCUCAGUCCAGAAGUUCAAACACAGACAAGUUCAUCUUUUGGUUGGGAAGUCAGUGAAACUGCACCCCCAUUUUGAGGGCAUCUGAAGUAGGUGACAAGGUUUCUUUCAAACUGGAGCAUUGUGGCUCUAUGAAUAUGAAUGGAUAGCUAAAAAGUAUUUCAGUAGAGACCCACUGAGAGCGAUGUCACAGAGCUGAGAAGGAAGCCAAGAGAUGAGCCAGAUUAAUUACUAACAGGCUGUUUGGUAGCAGUGACACAUGUUCUGGCAUCCUGGGCAUACGUUUUGGCACAGCUGAGGACAAAAUGGCUAUCACUGCCGCUGCUUCCAAUCAGUAGGCCCAGAAGUGCUGACCUUACAGUGAAUUGUGGAGGUUGGGCCACCAUGGUGAUUCACUACACAAGGCAGACUCUCCACCCAGUGCCAAUCAGUGGUCUAGCUGGGGUCCUUCACAGGAUAAAAGCACAAAUCCAGGUGGAAACAAAGAUGAUGAGAUGGAGAAUUUGUCCAUACACUGGGUGUGCUAUUAGACCAACCUAACCAUCAGAGAGUAAGUCCUUGCUCUAAUGCACACUGUGCUAAGAAUUUAAUAGAUGUGGUCUAAUGACAGAGGAAGACCUCACUAUCCCCAUUUGUUUCACAAUAAGAUUGAUGCUCAGAGCAGGUAAGUCAUUCGGCUACUAAGUGGUACAGUUAGCAUACUCAGGACUCUACAUCUCAUCUCUGAUCCUUCACCAAAACCACCUGUAUUCAUGACCUCAUUAAACCUUCCAUGUCAACACCUUGUCCAGUUAAGCCUAAUGCUUUCCAUGAGAAACUGCCAGGAAACUGCUACUAGCACAGUUCUUUGUGCCCUGCAGGAACCUGUCAAAGCUUUGGAGAAUGAAUGAACUUGGAGUGGUCAACAAGGGGUGUACCAGCCACAACUUUAAAAAUACUGCAAAAAAGGAGAAACUCCACAAAAUAAAAUACACAUAGAAAAAUCACUCCCAUGUUUCAAAAUAUUUACAGCCUAACAUUUACAGGCCACCCAAAGUGUGGCGGUCAGCAGUCCCUGCCCUGCCCGCGUCAUGGUGAGAAGGCAGCGAGCUGUGGGGUAGGGGGUGCGGGCUGCUGGGACGGGCACAGAGCUUCCCUUAGCUUUCUCUCCUGGUUAGUUUUGGCUCAAGGGAUGUAGUUAUGAAAAUGAUUUCCACUAAAGUCAUCCUCCACGGAAACCACAAAGACUAGUUAACCUUCUCUCCAUUGAAGUAGAAAAAAGCAUGCUUGUGUGAGCGUGUAGGGGAAGGAGAGGGAAUGUGGACAGAGAGGGAGGGGUGGUGUAAUAACUCUUGUAGUCAUAAGACAUGCCAGUUGGUAGUUACUAGUAUUCCAGACACUUCCUAAUGCCAGACAAAUGCCCCAAGCCUCGACAUGUCUGGCUCAGAGAUCUAUUCAACUGAUAGCAGCCGUUCUUGCGGGGAGAACAGACCUUUCACGGAGCAGUGCUCUGAAGCUAAUCAAACACAACAUUGUUCUCAGAAGGAAGAAAGGAAAGGUUUGUUUUAGGCACAGUUUUUUUUUUAAAGAGGCACUCAAGUUGUUUUAACAAGUUGCUACAAAACUUGGGCUUCCUGAGGUGAGUUUGUUGCUCACAGUGCCUGUACUGUACCUAAAUCCAGAGAGGGAGGGAUCAGAAAGUUAGUCAUAAAAAAAGAAGAAAAAAAAAAAGCCCCAGGCACUUCAUGCCUGGAAAUGAUGUAAGACGCAGCCACUCCUCUGUUAGAACUACAAUCAAACAAUGCGCAGGCAAUCCGCGGCAGCUGCUCUCCAAAUGUCAGCGACAGCCCGUCAACAGAGCUUGAAAACCACCAAUCUGAAGGACUUUGUGCUGUACCUUUCUCGCCCACAUUUUCCCCAAGCACUCUCAGGAACCUGGCAACAGGAGGACCCCAAUGCUGUUGACUUUGCUGUGCAGCCAAGACUUCCGGGGGGGAGGGCAGCACCUCCCUAGACUUGGAGGCUGAAUCUUCAUUGGUCUGUAGGGCCAAGGAGAAGGGAAGUCUGGCGGGAAUGUUUUGGGGAAGGUUUACCUCCCUCUUUACAUGACAUGAGUCAGGAAGAUCCCUUUCUUCCCCUGGAUAUUGUCAUCCGCAAGAGAUACUCUGAGCUGCGUGGCUGCCAUCUGGGGACCACAAGGGGUAUUCUGCCUGAGCAGACAAACCUGCAGUGAUGGCCAUGGGUGAAAAGACGGCAAGAAGCUGGGUUUGAUACACUCAUCGGCUGCCCUUCCUUUAGACUUGCUAUUUUUUGAAAAAAUAAAUGCCUUUACCAGCUAA